This 1065-nucleotide ribosomal RNA is filed under the name Candidatus Phytoplasma asteris. Its description in RNAcentral is "bacterial SSU rRNA". It matches the Rfam family "Bacterial small subunit ribosomal RNA", at positions 230 to 1303 of the family's 1533-position model. RNAcentral also lists the same sequence under 1 other name. The record is from RNAcentral. Lineage: Bacteria; Bacillati; Mycoplasmatota; Mollicutes; Acholeplasmatales; Acholeplasmataceae.
CUUGCGUCACAUUAGUUAGUUGGUGGGGUAAAGGCCUACCAAGACUAUGAUGUGUAGCCGGGCUGAGAGGUUGAACGGCCACAUUGGGACUGAGACACGGCCCAAACUCCUACGGGAGGCAGCAGUAGGGAAUUUUCGGCAAUGGAGGAAACUCUGACCGAGCAACGCCGCGUGAACGAUGAAGUAUUUCGGUACGUAAAGUUCUUUUAUUAGGGAAGAAUAAAUGAUGGAAAAAUCAUUCUGACGGUACCUAAUGAAUAAGCCCCGGCUAACUAUGUGCCAGCAGCCGCGGUAAUACAUAGGGGGCAAGCGUUAUCCGGAAUUAUUGGGCGUAAAGGGUGCGUAGGCGGUUAAAUAAGUUUAUGGUCUAAGUGCAAUGCUCAACAUUGUGAUGCUAUAAAAACUGUUUAGCUAGAGUAAGAUAGAGGCAAGUGGAAUUCCAUGUGUAGUGGUAAAAUGCGUAAAUAUAUGGAGGAACACCAGUAGCGAAGGCGGCUUGCUGGGUCUUUACUGACGCUGAGGCACGAAAGCGUGGGGAGCAAACAGGAUUAGAUACCCUGGUAGUCCACGCCGUAAACGAUGAGUACUAAACGUUGGGUAAAACCAGUGUUGAAGUUAACACAUUAAGUACUCCGCCUGAGUAGUACGUACGCAAGUAUGAAACUUAAAGGAAUUGACGGGACUCCGCACAAGCGGUGGAUCAUGUUGUUUAAUUCGAAGGUACCCGAAAAACCUCACCAGGUCUUGACAUGCUUCUGCAAAGCUGUAGAAACACAGUGGAGGUUAUCAGUUGCACAGGUGGUGCAUGGUUGUCGUCAGCUCGUGUCGUGAGAUGUUGGGUUAAGUCCCGCAACGAGCGCAACCCUUAUUGUUAGUUACCAGCACGUAAUGGUGGGGACUUUAGCAAGACUGCCAGUGAUGAAUUGGAGGAAGGUGGGGACGACGUCAAAUCAUCAUGCCCCUUAUGACCUGGGCUACAAACGUGAUACAAUGGCUGUUACAAAGGGUAGCUGAAGCGCAAGUUUUUGGCGAAUCUCAAAAAAACAGUCUCAGUUCGGAUUGAAG